GCAACUUGUUUGAGUCUGGCCACUUGCUCACCAUCUGGAACUACUUCAUAUUCUUAUUACCAAAAAAAAAAUGAAAGAAAGAAAGAAACGAAAAAGAGAAAAAGGAUGAGUAACGCUGCUGGGUUGCCUUUUCUUUUGUACGUUUUGCUGGGUGCUUAACCCACCCAGGGCUCCCUCCCACCUGGAGGCACCCUACCAGCCACAGUUUAUCUGACACUCCGUUCGACUACAGAACUACUCCCUCGAAAUAUAAGACAGAGAACUACGCUGGAAAUUAGGAGACCUGAGCUGUAUCCCAGCUUCUGGCUCACUUCUGACACAAACCAUUCAACUUCCUUGAGCCCUGGAUUCCCGGAUUGUGAAACUAAGGAGCUGGGUGAUGUGAUUAUCUGCUGCUGUCUAUGGUCAGCUGAAAUUAGUGAGAGGUGGCUGCAUCUCUGCUUUACAUGUCUUCUCAUUCUGGUACCUAGGAUGAAAGAAUUGCCCUUACAUGAAGUGCUACAUUCUCCAGGCAAAGAUGUGAAUAUUUUGGACAUUUCAUGUAAAUGGAAUCAUACAAUAUAUAGGCUUGAGUUUGGACGGAAGUUGGUGUGGCUAUAAAAGGGCACAUGAGGAAUCCUUGUUGUGACGAAAACUGAAGUUUUAAUUUGUAGGAUCUUGGAUUGACUUAAUUUCAAAGACUCAGCCUUCAUAGAUAUGCAAUACAAAGUUUAUGCCCAAAGUAAAAGACUGAAGAGAAUAAGUAAGUGUGGGAAAAGGCAUUCCCAGUUGACCUCCCGCUAUGUCAAUGGCAAGUUGAAGACUGUACCUCGGGGCUGGGGGAAACCAGAGUUGAAGAGAAAGCUGAAGACAGUUGAAGAGUGAGCUGCUGGAGCAGGUUAACACCUUGUAAAACAGACCUGAAUAAGAGUAUAUUCAACGUUCAAGAAGAUUCUUUGGGGGCUGGCCCCACGGCCGAGUGGUUGGAGUUCCACACGCUCAGCAGCGCCGGUUAGUGGGUUUGGAUCCUGGGUGCAGACCUGCUCCACUCAUCAGUCAAGCCCUGGAGGAGUAAACAGAGCCCUGUGUUUUGACAAGUUCACCUCUGCCACGUAUUAUAAAAGAAGAAGAGAAAAAGGCAUGGGACUGAUCCCCAUCUCAGUGUGCAAUUCUGCCAAAAGGAAAACAGAUUUGGUGCCACAGAGCAGUUACUGUGUGUCCAGCUUCUAUUGGAAGGAUUACAGGCACUGGCACCUGGGCUGUGAUGCCUGGCAUGGCUGGGGGCUCACCAGUCAACUCCCUUCCCACUCAGCCUCUCCACGUAGCUAGACUGAAUAUCCUCACAGCAAGAUGGUCUUAGGGAGAAUAAAAAACAGAACUUACCUGUGGAAGGUAGAAUAUGGCCUGCCAACGAUGUCCAUGUCCUAAUCCCCAGAACCAUAAGGGAUGUAUUAGGUUUAAUGGUAAAGAGGAGUUAAGAUUGAAGACAUUAAUUUUGCUAAUCAGCUAACUGUGAGAUGAGGAGUUUAUCCUGAAUUAUCCAGGUGGACCCAAUGUAACCACAAGGGUUCUUAUAAGUAGAAGAGGAAAGACAGAGAGAACUGGAGAUAUGGCCGUGUGAAAAGGACUCAGCCUGACCUUCCUGGCGUUGAAGAAGGAGAAAUGGUGCCACACGCUGAGGACUGAAGACCAGAAAGAAUCUAGAAGAGGGAAGGAACCAGAUUAUCCCCUGAAGCCUCUAGAAGGAACAUAGCCUUGCCAACACCUUGAGUUUAGCCCAGUGAGACCCAUUUUGGACUUCUGACCUCCAGAACUGUAAAAGAAGAAACUUGUGUUGUUUUAAACCACAGUAAACAUUAUGGUGAUUUGUUACAGCAAGCAUAGGAAAUUAAUACACUGCCUCAUGGGAUCGUUAUGAGGAUUAAAUGAGAUGAUACGUGUAAUCAUGAUUAAAAUAUAUUCUAGGACAUGGUAACUGCUCAAUAAAUGUAAUUAUUUGCUAUCAAAAAUUAUAAUUAUUGGGGCUGGCCCCGUGGCCGAGUGGUUAAGUUCGCGCACUCCGCUGCAGGCGGCCCAGUGUUUCGUUAGUUCGAAUCCUGGGCGCGGACAUGGCACUGCUCAUCAGACCACGCUGAGGCAGCGUCCCACAUGCC
This is a long non-coding RNA of Equus caballus (horse), 2132 nucleotides long. Lineage: Eukaryota; Metazoa; Chordata; Mammalia; Perissodactyla; Equidae. The record is from Ensembl.